This 97-nucleotide small nucleolar RNA is filed under the name Olea europaea subsp. europaea. Its description in RNAcentral is "Small nucleolar RNA Z266". It matches the Rfam family "Small nucleolar RNA Z266". From Rfam's summary of the family: Z266 is a member of the C/D class of snoRNA which contain the C (UGAUGA) and D (CUGA) box motifs. Most of the members of the box C/D family function in directing site-specific 2'-O-methylation of substrate RNAs. Lineage: Eukaryota; Viridiplantae; Streptophyta; Magnoliopsida; Lamiales; Oleaceae. The record is from Rfam by way of RNAcentral.
AAUGGGCAAGAAUGAUGAGACAAUUAGAUGAGUGAGAGGUAUACCUCUUUGAGCAAAACUCACGAUGCUUAUUGAUAUUCUGACUUUAUUGCCCAUA